Molecule: ribosomal RNA, 906 nt
Filed under: uncultured archaeon
Lineage: Archaea
Description: bacterial SSU rRNA
Rfam family: Archaeal small subunit ribosomal RNA
Source: RNAcentral
CCCCACUGCUAUCGGGAUGGGACUAAGACAUGCUAGUCGUGCGUCUCCAAGCCAUGGCGGAGACGCGGCGCACAGCUCAGUAACACGUGGCUAACCUGCCCUUAGGACAGGGAAAACCCCGGGAAACUGGGGCUAAUCCCCGAUAGGAGAAGACACCUGGAAGGGGUCUUUUCCCAAAAGGCGCUUAGAUCAUGCUUCUAGACGUCGCUCAAGGACGGGGCCGCGGCCGAUCAGGUUGUUGGUGAGGUAAUGGCUCACCAAGCCUAUAACCGGUACGGGCCGUGAGAGCGGGAGCCCGGAGAUGGGCACUGAGACAAGGGCCCAGGCCCUACGGGGCGCAGCAGUUGCGAAAACUCCGCAAUGCACGAAAGUGUGACGGGGCUACCCCGAGUGCCGUCCGCUGAGGAUGGCUUUUCUCCGCUGUAAGGAGGCGGAGGAAUAAGGAGAGGGCAAGACUGGUGUCAGCCGCCGCGGUAAUACCAGCUCUCCGAGUGGUAGGGGUGAUUAUUGGGCUUAAAGCGUCCGUAGCCGGCCUGGCAAGUCUUCCGUUAAAUCCAGCAACCUAAUUGUUGGGCUGCGGGGGAUACUGUUAGGCUAGGGGGCGGGAGAGGCCGACGGUAUUCUCGGGGUAGGGGUGAAAUCUUAUAAUCCCGGGAGGACCACCAGUGGCGAAGGCUGUCGGCUAGCACGCGCCUGACGGUGAGGGACGAAAGCUGGGGGAGCGAACCGGAUUAGAUACCCGGGUAGUCCCUGCUGUAAACGAUGCGAGCUAGGUGUUGGGGCGGCUACGAGCCGCUUCAGUGCCGCAGCGAAGGCGUUAAGCUCGCCGCCUGGGGAGUACGGCCGCAAGGCUGAAACUUAAAGGAAUUGGCGGGGGAGCACCACAAGGCGUGAAGCUUGCGGUUC